This 460-nucleotide ribosomal RNA is filed under the name uncultured bacterium. Its description in RNAcentral is "partial 16S ribosomal RNA". It matches the Rfam family "Bacterial small subunit ribosomal RNA", at positions 338 to 795 of the family's 1533-position model. The record is from RNAcentral.
CCUACGGGUGGCAGCAGUGAGGAAUAUUGGUCAAUGGGCGAGAGCCUGAAGCAGCGAAGUAGCGUGAAGGAUGACGGGCCUAGGGGUUGUAAACUUCUUUUGUGAAGGAAUAAAGUGAGGCACGUGUGCCUUUUUGUAUGUACGUUAUGAAUAAGGAUCGGCUAACUCCGUGCCAGCCGCCGCGGUAAUACGGAGGAUACGAGCGUUAUGCGGAUUUAUUGGGUUUAAAGGGAGCGUAGAUGGGUUGUUAAGUCAGUUGUGAAAGUUUGCGGCUCAACCGUGAAAUUGCAAUUGAUACUGGCAGUCUUGAGUACAGUUGAGGUAGGCGGAAUUCGUGGUGUAGCGGUGAAAUGCUUAGAUAUCACGAAGAACUCCGAUUGCGAAGGCAGCUUACUAAACUGCCACUGACAUUGAUGCUCGAAAGUGUGGGGAUCAAACAGGAUUAGAUACCCUGGUAGUC